GCUCACGUGGCGGAACUGGUAGACGCGUGCGCUUGAGGGGCGUAUGUCUUAGGACGUGGAGGUUCGAUUCCUCUCGUGAGCA
RNAcentral lists this transfer RNA (82 nucleotides) under Crocinitomicaceae bacterium. RNAcentral describes it as "tRNA-Leu". It matches the Rfam family "tRNA". Rfam says of the family: Transfer RNA (tRNA) molecules are approximately 80 nucleotides in length. The record is from RNAcentral. Lineage: Bacteria; Pseudomonadati; Bacteroidota; Flavobacteriia; Flavobacteriales; Crocinitomicaceae.